Molecule: ribosomal RNA, 148 nt
Filed under: Escherichia coli
Lineage: Bacteria; Pseudomonadati; Pseudomonadota; Gammaproteobacteria; Enterobacterales; Enterobacteriaceae
Also listed under: 14 other names
Description: partial 16S ribosomal RNA
Rfam family: Bacterial small subunit ribosomal RNA
Source: RNAcentral
UUAAAUUGAAGAGUUUGAUCAUGGCUCAGAUUGAACGCUGGCGGCAGGCCUAACACAUGCAAGUCGAACGGUAACAGGAAGCAGCUUGCUGCUUCGCUGACGAGUGGCGGACGGGUGAGUAAUGUCUGGGAAACUGCCUGAUGGAGGG